CGAGUGGGGGAAGGACAGAGAGAGGAGACACAGAAUCCUAAGUAGGCUCCAGGCUCUGAGCUGUCAGCACAGAGAGCCUGGUGCAGGGCUUGAACUCACGAAGAGCAAGAUCAUGACCUGAGCUGAAGUCAGACGCUUAACCGACUGAGCCACCCAGGCACUCCUUUCUUCAAAUACUUUUAUACCACUUCACACAUCAUGUGAGGCCCUUUAAGCUAAAAAAGCUGAGUGAAGACAGUCUGACUAAGCAGCCUGAAGAAGUUUUUGAUGUAUUAGAGAAACUUGGAGAAGGGUCUUACGGAAGUGUAUUUAAAGCAAUACAUAAGGAAUCUGGUCAGGUUGUGGCAAUUAAACAAGUACCUGUUGAGUCGGAUCUUCAGGAAAUAAUCAAAGAAAUUUCCAUAAUGCAACAAUGUGACAGGUAUGAAGAGAUCUUAUUUCUUUAUUUACCUUCAUUCUGAUGAGUUUUGCUAACAAUAUGUAAGAAAAUGUAUUCUUUGGACAUCUGGUUAGCUUUCUGACUUUCCAUCUGAAGUGAGACUAAUCCUUCAAGGAAGAUAAGGAUAGUUUUGUGGUGUUGUCUUUAGGACUUACAGUUCUAAGGGGGAAAUAAUCUUAUAAAGCAACAUAUGGUGGCAGAAAAUACUUAAGCCAUUUUCUUAUUUUCAGGGCAAAUUAUGGGUGAAAAUUAUUUUUUAAUGUGAAGGGGGAUCAUUUAACAGUCUUUUUUUAUAUAAUUGUUUUUAGUAAUUAAAAACAGCCAUGUUUUAUGUAACUCUAAUUCAUUCAACAGACAUUUACUGAGCAUUGCUGGUGGGCCAGCUGCUACUAUGCCAGAGUCCAGGAAUACCAAAAGAACUAAACUAUUGCUUUUCUUCUUGAGGGGCUAGUGAUCUAGUUGGGAAGACAGAUACUUACAUAAAUAGCUAUAUAAUACAGCACAGUCCCUGUACUCCCUGGUGCAUGGGGUGAUGUGAGAGCAAGGAGGCAGGGUACAUUAACUCCCAGCCAGCAGUUAUGAAGUCUGGCAUGCUGAGGAAGAGUUAAUUAAAAUUGUGGAGAAAUGGAGGGAUGAGAGAGAGUGAAGAGAAUUAUAGGUAGACAGGUGAAAAUCAGCUCACUGGUAUGUGCUGUUCCGACAAGGUUUAGAAUUACCGGAGUGGAAGGCAUGAGACAGAGAUUGGUGUGAAAUGGGAUAGGGAAAUGGAGCUGACCGUGAAGUGUCUUAUGUGCCCUGUUAAGUAGUUUGGUCAGAAACGCAGAGUUUAUGAAUUAGGACUAUGUUUAGCCUAUAGUUACUUAGUUAAAGAGGGAUUUCAUUACUCUCCCUUUACAGUGGUCUCCAGGUAGGGUUGGUAUAGCAGCAUAAAGUAACCACAGUCUCAGACUCAGACUUUUUUUCUUAUACUGUGCUAUCCUUAUUACGUGGCUUGUGUCCUCAUGCUUAUUAUCUUGUGGUUCGAAGAGGGCUGCUCUUGCUCCAGCCUUAUGUUUAUGUUCCAGUAGAAGAAAAAAGGGAAAAGGCAGGAAAGAGCUUUCCCAGAAACCUUCAACUUACGUUUUAAUCAUCAAAAUUGAUUGAGCCACAUGGUAUAUUACAGCUGAUGACUCAGGGGAAUCUGGACACAUUGUCACCUCUAAUCCGAUCAGGGCCCAAUAUAUUAGUAAGAGGUCUAUGAAAAACUUUCUCUUCCAAAAGUGUAUAAGGUCCAUAUAUUAUAAGCCCUUUGGCUAAUGAGGUGACUGAAUAAUCAUAGAAGAACUUUGUUGCUUGAGUCUGUUCAGUUUUGCUUUUCUUUAUUGUGUACUACAUAUUUAGAUUAUAUAUUUUCAAUAAAGGCUGUAUAACUGGAAAUUCAAGUGGUUAUAGAAAAAAAUACAUUCCUCGGCUCCCAGAUCAAAAUAUGUAAUUCAAAGUUUUCCCACACCUUACUAUUAAUCUGGUAAUUUGAUAAGAAUAUGGUUACCACAGUUUGUUGUAGAAAAGAAAGAUUGAGCAUAGAAUAGUGUUGGGCCCAUCAGGGGCUUAAUACUUGCAUGUUGCUAUUACUACUUUAUUCUUAUGAUUAAGUAUAGUUUAGGGACUGCUGUUGUCCUUUAGAGGUUUUAACUUGAGUGUGCUCUGGGAAAGGCAGGGUUGCAAAUAUUACCUAUCAUACACAUCUUCCUCUAAUCUUUGUGCAUCUUAGGACCAAUCUGCUCUUGCUCACAUUUCUUUCUCAGCUACCUGUUUGUUUCUUUUGCUUUCAGUUUUCACUCUUCCAACCCAUUUUCUACCCUAAAACUGGAGUGAUCUUUCUAAAAUGCAAAUCUAAUUAAGCCAUUCCUUGUUUAAAACCUUAAAUGCUUUCCCAUUGCCUGGAUAGAUCCAACCUCCUAAGCAUGGCAUAUAAAGUCCUUUAUAAUUGUGCCUGUGCUUCCAGUCUUCUGUCUUACCUGAGUUUCUCUUUUAAGCACACUUUUACCUGCAUUCUCUGUCACCUGACUCUUAAAUUCUGUGAUUUUGGGAGUAUGUCUUAGUAAGUGCCCUGGAUUUUGCCACACUGUGGUUACUCAAAUAUGGGAAUUACUGAUUCUAGUCCGGGCGACUCAACUGGAGAAUACCCAGAAGGAACUUCGCAUUUAACAUUCUUAGACCAAAUUUUUAAUUAUUGCAGAGAAGCCUCUGCAGUUCCUGUUCUGUUAAUGGCAUCAUCACCUACUUAGUCUCCCAACAACAAAAUUGAGAGUCAUCUUUGUUUCUUUUUCUGAUACUUCUGAGGGCGCUAUCUUAUAGAUUCUCCUUCUGAAAUGUCUUCACUAUCUUUGUCCUUCUCUUCAUUUCCUGAGAGGGACUCAUAUUACCACACGUUACAAUGCCUAGCACUACUGUACUUUUUGUUGAGUGAAUGUGAAUGGAUAUGGUAUGAAUAAGGAAUAUGGAAGAGUGUUGUAGGUUGAGGGAACCCUAGGGAAAUCUGGUCCUUUGUCAUUAUAUAUUUUCAACUACUCAGGAGAAAGAAGAGUAAAGAAUAAAAGGGGAAAGAAAUGUGAAUAAAGUUCUAGAAAUUUUGUACCACUUUAUAGCAGAAUGUCUUGUACAUGGUAGGGAUGUCUCAAAUAUUUGUUGACUGAAAUAUGGUGGAACAAUUACUGGUAAAAAAUAGUUCAUGCCUUUUGGAUUUUACUUUCAGAUUCACUAUUCACAUGAAAUAGUGAAGAAUCAGAAAAAUUAGUAGGUUAAAAGAUCCUAAAAAUACUAAAAGAUAGGACAAGUAAAAAAUAAACCAGGAAAUGACAGGGCAAGCAUUACAUUUUAGCUACUAAUUACUAGUGUUAAUUUAGAUGUGGUAUCAGGAAACUAACAUGUAAAUGAUUUGUAAGAGAACAGUACAAAUUGAAAAAUUCCCACUUAGAGAAAAUGAGAUUUGCAUUUUUGAAAUUAAAAUAAGGUCUAUUCAGCUAUAUGAACAUUUGGCAAAUUGUCUAUAAAAAGAGACCAGAGGGUGUUUAAAUUUUUUUGUUCAUUUUAGUAAAUAUUAAACAUGUGUUUAAUACUGCAUUUUGGCAUAAAUAUUUGAGGGAGCCCAUCUCCAUUGUUUAUUACAGAAUCUUUUGUGUCUAGUCCAGUGCUUGGCACAGAGUAGACGUUUAAUAAAUAUUUGUUGAAUAUAUAAAUCAUAGAAUGUUAAUGUUAGGCUAGAUCUCUGUAGGGUCUAUUAAUUUAGAGUUUUGCAAAUGUAUUCUGCUCUAAGGAGGUGCGGGUAUUUUCCUCCAACAGUGAAGGAUUGAGCAGAAUGAGAAACUUCAGCCAUUGCUUUUAUCUUUUUUCUAUACUGGGGCUCAUUCUAAAAUUUUAUUUGAGGAAAAGACUCUUCGUGCUAAAGCAUAUUUUAGAACUUAAAAAAUUUUACAUAUACAGAAAAUGGGACCUAGAGAUUUUACAUGAAUUGUCCCAAAUCACACAGCUAGUUAGUGACUGGGAUGCCAUAAGAACACACAUUUGCUACUCUAGCCUGUGCUGAAGAAAGCAGGGUCUACAGAAAGAUUCCAGCACUUCAGACUGAAGCACUCUUCAAGGCAUUGCUAGCGGUGGAGGCAGGAGCUGGUCAGUAAUAGUUAGGAAUACUGUGUGCUAGGUAAUUUGGAGACAAGGGAACCACAGUUGAUAUGGCCCCUAUAUUCCUUGUCCUUAUACUACUCAUGGAACUUCUCCUGUGUAAACCAGGAGAAAUGUGUUGUUACCACAUGCAUCAAGGCACACAAUUAUUCACUUAUUUAUGCACUCAACUAAUAUAUAUUGAGUACAUACUGGUAAGGGGAGCCUUUAUGCAUUGCUCACAGGAGAUACAACAAUGAAGGAGUCUUAGACUUUAGAGGGACUUUCAGUUAGAUGGGAGAGGCAGAUGAAUGGAUGGACUGUUUUAUACAGUGUGAUAAGAGCUGGGAUGGGCUAAUUAUGGAAACUAUGUAGGUCGGAAUACAUAUCCAACACCUCACCAUUGGAGAUUCAGGGAAGGCUACUCCAGGGAGGUCAUACCCAAACUAAGUGAUUUAGAAUUACUUAGAUUUGGGGGGCAAAGAGGAGAGGCAAUCCAUGUGUUGGGAAUAGCACAUUUUUAGCUGGUCUGCUUAGAGGCUUCUACCAGAGUAGUCCCUCUCCUGCCUGUUCUAUUUGCUGAUGUUUCUGGGUAAAAUUCCAUUAAAGCCCUGUUAGUGAGGGCCUUCCCCCCCCCCCCACAAAAAAAAGUUUGAAAAUCACCAUACUGAAGGAUUUGUGAUGAAUUUUGGCAAUUUGUAUUAGUUCAUGUAUAUGUAUAUUCAUUUUUGGGUGGGCCCAGAAAUAAAUUGCUGUGAUUUAGAUUUAUAUUGGAAACAGCUCAGUUUUCAUAGGAGAGUAUUCACAUAGCCUUUGUAAAAACACUGUGUUACCCCUAUUAGGUUUAGAGCACUGUUAAGAUGGUAGAAGGAUGUUAGUGAAACUUCUGUAAUGAAAAAUAGCCAUUUCUUAGUAUUUUAAUUUUUACAUGCUCAUAAUGGGAGG
Long non-coding RNA from Panthera uncia (snow leopard), 5023 nucleotides. RefSeq lists it as uncharacterized. The transcript is spliced from 3 exons. Lineage: Eukaryota; Metazoa; Chordata; Mammalia; Carnivora; Felidae. The record is from RefSeq and is a predicted model, not a curated record.